CAGGAGAUUAGCUUCCACAGAAGGUUAUUCCACCUCCACAGUUUGUCAUCCAGAACCAGUAUGAGUUCUUCGUCCAGCGUAUGGGAGGCCCUCCUCUGUAUUCUCAAAGGAAAUGUUAAGUCUUUUUUACAUUUUGGAUUCUUCUUCCUUUACUAUAAUCUGGUGAAUGCCUUCAAAUGUUUGUUUGGUUCUAGCUGUUCUUUUAAUGUUCAUGGCACUUUAAUCAGUUCUGCAUUAACAUAAUUUUCAGGCUGCGAUUGAACUAUGGCUAGCCGCAAUGAUCCCUUACAGAUUGCAACUUCCUAACUGUUUUGUAUAUUGGGUUUGUGGGAGCUCACACAAUGCCGGUUCUGUAUGAGAAAUAUGAAGACGAAGUUGGUGGUUUUGUUGAUUCUCUGCUCAUGAAGUUUCACAGUCACUAUAAGAAGAUGGAUACUGGCUUUCUCAGUCGAAUUCCAAGUGGAAGGUUUGGGUUCAAGAAGCAUGACUAAAUCAACUUGUUUAUCUGUGGAUGAAAGGUAUGUGUAGCUUGGUUUACUCUUGAACGUCUUCUUCUUGGUUUACUCUUAUAGGAUGUUUCAAACAAUGUUGGCUUACUUUCUGAUGAUGGCAAUAGGUUUUACAAACCAAAGUGUUUCUUAAUUUUUUUUUGAUCUUUUAAUAUGUUUUAUAUAAUAAAUAAAUUUUAUCUUAAAUAAAACAAUGUUUAAUUUU
Molecule: long non-coding RNA, 714 nt
Organism: Brassica rapa (field mustard)
Lineage: Eukaryota; Viridiplantae; Streptophyta; Magnoliopsida; Brassicales; Brassicaceae
Source: RefSeq, a predicted model, not a curated record